RNAcentral lists this long non-coding RNA (843 nucleotides) under Equus caballus (horse). RNAcentral's name for it is "lncRNA (ENSECAG00000047055.1)". Lineage: Eukaryota; Metazoa; Chordata; Mammalia; Perissodactyla; Equidae. The record is from RNAcentral.
AGGUGGGCCCAAUAUAAUCACAAGGGUCCUUAUUAGAGGGAAGCAAAAAGGUCAAAGUCAGAAUAAGGAGCUGGGGGCCAGUCUGGUGGCACAGCGGUUAAGUUCGCACGUUCCGCUUCAGCGGCCUGGGGUUCGCAGGUUCGGAUCCCUAUUGCGGACAUUGGCAAAAGCCAUGCUGUGAUGGAGAAAUUCAGCCACGGGAAAAAACCCUGCCUAACAUCAUACACCUGGUGACACAGCACAGAUUCAAGCUAACAGAGAAUCAGACUGGACAGCCAUCCUUCUCACAUUUACCAUUGCAAAACUGUAACUAUCAAUCAUAACUUGCCUUGAAAACCACUAGGCUGCAGUCACAGUGAAGACCAGCAAAGUGGCAGCCAACACAGUGGCAGAACAGUGUUGGAGCUCUUCCAAAGCUCCAUUUCCAGAGAACUGUCAGCAUUUGACCUGUCUGGUGAUCCCCUAGAAGACCUCACUUGCAAAACCGUUUUUAUUUGACCUCACUCGGAGCUCAUCCAAUAUGAAAAGCCUUUCUCCUGGGAGUGAUUUGCGGCCUGUCAUACUUAAGGCAGGUUGGAAGAGAAGAUUGACAUCCCAACAGUCUCCUUAUCUCUAUUUGAGAGGACACAACUGCCUGGGGUUUUCUGAAUUCAUAUGUCAUAAAUGCUGCAAGAUUACUGAGAAAUAGGUGCUGAAAAUUGCAAGUAAUUAUGAGCAAUAUAGACACAACCUUCUCUGAUCAAUUACUCCUUAUAGAAAAAGAAAUUCUUCAAAGUGGAUCAAAUAAUUGUUAGACCCCACUAGAAUUGAUCCCUCUUUCCUUGGACUUAUAUUACAUUUUCU